RNAcentral lists this ribosomal RNA (446 nucleotides) under uncultured bacterium. RNAcentral describes it as "partial 16S ribosomal RNA". It matches the Rfam family "Bacterial small subunit ribosomal RNA", at positions 338 to 795 of the family's 1533-position model. The record is from RNAcentral.
CCUACGGGCGGCUGCAGUCGAGAAUCAUUCACAAUGGGGGAAACCCUGAUGGUGCGACGCCGCGUGGGGGAAUGAAGGUCUUCGGAUUGUAAACCCCUGUCAUGUGGGAGCAAAUUAAAAAGAUAGUACCACAAGAGGAAGAGACGGCUAACUCUGUGCCAGCAGCCGCGGUAAUACAGAGGUCUCAAGCGUUGUUCGGAAUCACUGGGCGUAAAGCGUGCGUAGGCUGUUUCGUAAGUCGUGUGUGAAAGGCGCGGGCUCAACCCGCGGACGGCACAUGAUACUGCGAGACUAGAGUAAGGGAGGGGGAACCGGAAUGCUCGGUGUAGCAGUGAAAUGCGUAGAUAUCGAGAGGAACACUCGUGGCGAAGGCGGGUUCCUGGACAUUAACUGACGCUGAGGCACGAAGGCCAGGGGAGCGAAAGGGAUUAGAUACCCGAGUAGUC